CCGGCGAGUGGCCCGAGAGGUCCCCUUGCCUAAGCUGCAGGCAGUCGGCUUAGGCAGGCUCCCUUCGUUUAAUUAAUUGCAAUUAAAAAGCUCUGCACUCAUUUCCUAGAGGGCUCCCGAGGACUGAUCCGCGGAGCGCGUGGGAACUGAGCGGAGGCCUAGGGGCCCUAGACUCACCUGCGGACUGGCCGGCUGCGCCCGGGUGUUUGUGUGGCUGUGAUUAUUUAUUGUGAGGAAGCAAACAUUGCUGCUGCCACUGCGCCAGCGGUGCGCGGAGGGCCCGGGCGCUUGCGAGAAAAGCAAGCACUUGGCUGACAAAUUUGCGUUCUUGAGGGUGUGGGAGGGAGCGCGAGGCCUCCUUUUUUGGUAACGAGGGAAAUAGUGCCUGGGAAGGGAUGAGCCGCGAGAGGGGUGAUCUGAGACAUCAGCCAGCAGAAGCAUCAGCCUCUGAAUACACAACGCGCUCGCACGAUCUGAGAUUUGGACACGUAACGCUGCAGACCACUGAUUUGCUAUUUUCUUAAUUCCCGCUCUUCUUAUCCCCUAUGAAUCAAACAGUCUUUUGUCCUUCAGAGUUUGAUUUGAUCGCUACUGUUCACAUUUCACUUUUGUAUUUUUCUCUUCCUAUACCAUUACUCAUUGAGUGCCCCGUGAAAUUACAAUCGUACAUUUUCAACUCAGCAGCCCAUUUGCAGUGCAAAAAUAGGGUCUAAAUAAUGGCUGAAUUAGCCCUACUGGACAGUUUCAGAUGUAACACUCUGUAAUAAUUAUAUUGCAGGCUGGAUUAGGAUGCUAUUAUCAUAAUCUGGACGUUUACAAUUAUCUGUAAUUUGCAAAGAUGCGCCAGGUCUUGAUUACAGCAGUUUUUUUUUUUAUCAAGCUAACCAUCACUAAACAGUGACAGUAAUAACAGCUAAUUUUGCUGGCAAUAUAAGAGGUGCUGGGGUGUGCAAACAAUUUCACACCUGGAUGUGCUCACUCAACCAAGAAUAUAGCGAAAGAGCUUCUGCCCUGAGACUCAGAAAAAUAUUCUCCACUGCUUCUGUUCAGUAUAGAUUUCUAGACCCUGAUCAUUGCUUAACAGAUUUGCACUGGGGGUCCUACGUCUCUGCAAUUUGUGUAUGAAUAACAGAAUAAUUUUCCUCUUUUGUUUCGCCUUUCCUGUUCCUGAAUCUAAAUAAAGAUGGCUUUUUAGUAUUAAAAGUGGAAGAAAAUUACAGGUAAUUAUCUUUGACGGUAAAAACGCUGUAAUCAGCGGGCUACAUGAAAAAUUACUCUAAUUAUGGCUGCAUUUAAGAGAAUGGAAAAAAACCUUCUUGUGGAUAAAAACCUUAAAUUGUCCCCAAUGUCUGCUUCAAAUUGGAUGGCACUGCAGCUGGAGGCUUUGUUCAGAAUUGAUCCUGGGGAGCUCUGAACCCAAAGUUUCACAGUGGGAAAGGGAAAAAAAAGAAAAGAAAACAUUUUUCCUAAUGUAACAAUACGAAUGGUAGAAAAUGACAAGACUGAUCGGUUUUAAACCAUUCUGAAGACUGACUGAGUGUGGAAGUUGCUCAAAAAAAAAAGGAGCUGGUAUAUUGCUGCCAUGGAAAAUGACCAGAAACCUACUUUCUCGGAAAGCGCAUCCAUCAUCUUCAGGCAUUCUUCCAAUCCGUUAACUGUAGCUGUUACUAAUGAGUGUCUCAGUCCAGAAAACCCAAUUAUUACAAUGUUUCAUGCAAUAGCAUCCAGAUACUGAGAAAAAUAAAUUGUAUUCGGGCAGCAUUUCUUCUGAUGAGGUUGUCUUUCCCUUCUGUUCUGUAAGCAGUAUUAUCAAACAUCUCUGUUACUAAUAAAGGUACAACUCUUGAGCUGUUGUAAAUUUAUAAUGUUCCAUGGACGUCAUGGGAGCUAUGCUAGUUUAUAUCAGCCAAGGAUUUGACCUACAAUGUUUGCAAAUCACCUGUUAACCCAUGUGUUUCUUUCAUGUGUAAGCUUUAUGUAUUUUCUUUUAACCAGGGAAGAGUUAUAAGAUAUAAAUUUUUAUUUCUUACAGUGUAUCAUGUAGAGCAGAAUCUGGUAUUCGGCUUUAAUUUCAGGGAUUUUCUAGAAAACAAUAAUUUAGCUAAUAUUUAAAAUACAUGAUCAUCAACACAAACAAACGUACCUCCCUGCUUUAUUUUAUUUUUAAAGUUCCCAUUUUAUUUCUUGUCAUUUCAAGGCCCUUGAUAAAGCUAAUUUCUCAUUGUUAUAACACAGUGGGGUACUGUCAAAGCCAUUAGGUUUGAGUGUGUUAGACUUUUUUGCUCCUGCUGUGUACACACAGAAUUUUGGAUUGAAGAAGUGGUCAUUUUGCCUCGGCUUGGUUUCCAUCAUAGAAAGAGGUCUUCCCACUGGCUUCUGCUCCCAUUCCAGUCUUCCACUGUUUGUGACAAUCUUUGGUGGCAACUCUUAUAACUUGCAGUGGCCAGGGCUGCUGGGCCUGGCCACUGCAAGUUGUUCUCCAUGCUCCUUAGCUGUGCCUUCAGCAGUCAUUCUGCUCCAUAGAGUUUCAUGCUUAUUGUGGUCAAAGCUUCAUCUCACCUGUCUGCCCUCACUGUGGCACAGUACAGUGGAGAAUAGAAACCAUGUAAAGCAUAUCCAGUUUUCUAUCUAUAUGCUUCUUCCUCAGCCUCAGUCAGGAACCCUCUUCAUUGUCCCUGUGUACCAGAGGAUGGAAGGAACCUUGUGGAGCUCAGGGCUCCAUAUAACCAGUGUUUACAGGAUAAAUGGAACAAGCACAAGUAGUUGAGUGGAACCAUACCCUGAAGGUGAAUUGGGCAAAGUUUGUGGAAGACAGUGACAAAUUUAAAAACAACUUUUUGGUUAGGAAACCCACCUAUGCAACAAGGAUAGGGCAAAAAAGCAUAUGCCUUCCCACAACAUUGGCCUUUAUCCUGAUGGAAAUCUUGUUUCCCCUCACUGUUACCUAGGAGUCCAGGAAAUGUAUCAUACAGCAUCAGAGAUCUGGUUAGGGCUGCCUCUCUGCAGCUUCCUAGUGAAUGUACCAGUGUAGGUGUAUUAAGUACAGAGGCACCCCAACCAGUGCCUAGGUUGGAGGUGGGCAAAAUGUGGCCCACGGGCCAGAUGCAGCCUCCCAGGCAAUUCUAUCUGGCUUGGGGGGCCCCUAAAAAAUUUAGAAAAUUAAUAUUUAUCUGCCCCUGGCUGCCUGUCAUGCGGCCCUCAAUGGCUUGCCAAAACUCAGUAAGUGGCCCUCCGUCCAAAAUAAUUGCCCGCCCCUGGUCUAGGUUGUCCUUUCCUGGAAUGCGUCUAAGCUUGGUGAUGGCAGGAAGCAGAAAAGUGGCCACUACUGUUAUUGUCUACAGGCUCUCAUUCUGGGGAACUUUGCAUAUUAUCUAUAUCUGUUAAGUCAAUGUACACAGCAUCUGUACUUGGACUUGGUUUGGAAGUUUGUAUCUCAGGGAAGCCCAUAAUCUCCAAAAAAAACCUGUGAAGCAUACUUAAGAAUUUCAGCUUAACUAGAUCACUCCCGUUCACUCGCUGUCUGUCAGUUGCCCUACAAAUGUGGGAGCCUUUCCAAGGAUGAAAAUACAGCUUUGUUGGGUGUUUCAGCAGGGCACAUGCUUCUUACACAAAUAUGGGGGCUGGCAAUAGAAUAAUUUUUUUGCUGGAAUAUAAGGGAAGAUUCCUCUUAGAGAAAAAGGAAACAACAUAAGCCAAAGCAACUGUCUGUAACUUAUUAUGGGCAGCUUUUACCAUUACAUUCUUUCUGUCAUCUGACAUUUCUAAGUCAUCUAGGGAAGCAGAAGAAAGGGCCAUGCAAGUGCACUACAGACCACAGAUGUACAUGUGGGUGGAGUGCCAUCUUUAGUUUCUGGAGACAGAUCAAAGUGGUUGGGCUCAGUCAGUGAUCUGUGGUAUUGCCCAUCAGUACUGAAUGGCGUCUUGCAGUGGUUGAUGAACAUCCUACAUAACUGUUGAGGACUCCCUUUUUCUUCAUGUGGAUAUUUCUUAAUACUAGUUCCCGAACAUCCCACACACCUCUUUUGUUCUCAAGGGUCAGCCCACAGGCAAGUUUUAUAUUCAUAAUUAAUUCUGCCAUGGUUAGAUUCCCAUAUGGUGAUGUCCUAGGUCACUGGCAGAUGACAUUCAGCAUGUUGCCAGGGGUACACCCAACCUAAAGGAUGGUAGUAAAUUGUGGACAUAAAUUUCUAAUUGUCUUUUUCUAGCGUAUUGUAGAGGGAUUCUAGAUGUGAUCCCUUGGUUUGGAUUUCUGACCACAGAAUUUUUUUCUGAGCCCUGAAAUUUAUGACUACCAAGAGGGGGCUUUCCUUUGGAAUUAUAUGAAGCUAUGGACCAGAUUGUCCACUAAAAGUCCAGGUCUGUAGGUUGGAUCCAGCUUCUGGUUUUUAUCUGUGAUGUGCAUGCCAAACAUAGGCACCUACCAUCAUCUACUGUGCAAACAAAAUAACUGGCCUCAGAAACCAUCAACCAAUGGCUGGUUAAGGCCAAGUAGGACAGCUGGAAUUAAGGAACUUUCGGAACUGGUUCUUUUCCAAAUUGGUUUCAGAAGAUCAUACAUUGGGGGAUUAGCAAACAUACUUUUCCAUUAAGUAGACAGAUAAAUGUUUUGGGUGCUCAAUGAUUAUUUGCUCAUCCAUCCAUACUUUUCCUGAUGUGCAUUCUUUGUUCAAAUUAUUUUCAGUGACAGGCUGAGAGAUGCCUGGUAAACAAUUUACUAAUGGAAAUUUAUUAAUGGCUAGUAGUUCUUAGUAGAGGGUCAGGAACCAUCAAGAAAUAUAACCAACUGACGGGUGGGAAUUCAUGGCCACCAAAUCAUAAGGGAACUAGAUGACCUGGGAAUGCACCCUUGACAUGGAUUAUAGAUAAACCUGUAAUGAUACAUGGACAGAAUUUUGACUGCAGGAGGGUACAGUCACUCACAGCCUAGAUGAUGGGCUAUCCUUUAACAGAUUUACAUAACAAACCUGCUUGCUCUCCUACUGGAUACACCAGUGUAAACAGUACUCAGAUGGAAGGAACCUAUGGGAAGUUGUAAAUUUUCUGAGUGUGGAAUUUCUUAUCAAAUUCUUUAACUUAGGAUGCAUCUUUCACUUGGGCAUUUAAGCAAUAAUGAGAUAAAGUUGUCAAGAACAGUAGGCAUUUAAUAUUACCCAUAUAAUUUGUUCUGUUGUUUGUUAUAAUAAUGAUAAUUAAAAUAGAAAUGACAGCUCUAAUUUGUCAGGCUGAAUUCAACCUUGAAGCAGAGUCCAAAGGCCAAACUGUCCCUUAUUCUAGGUUAGAGUAGCAUAAGCUUAUAGACUAGAAAACCCUUCUUGCUAUGUAUUAUAGAGAAAGUGUUUUUUUAAUUAAAUAUUCAAAUCAGAAUUCACUUUAGAAAAGUGGCUCACUGACCAUUUUGAUAUCUACUUUAUAAGACAGCCUGCAGCAUUUGGAGUCAGACCUUAUCAUCACUGAUUUCAUUGUGGAGAACUAUGCUUCCAAACACAUGGCACAAUAAGGCUCAUGGUGCAUUAAUUCUUCGCUAACAUACCCAACCAGUAAAAAAUAUAUACAAAUAAUGAACAGGGUUGUCAAUCAAGUUAACCUUGCUCAUUCAUAUUCUUGCAUGAGACAACCAUGUUCCCUGAAACUUUUCAUACCUGUCAUUUGGCUUAUGUGCACAGCAGGGCUUUGACAAUUCUGCAACUCCUUUCUUAGAAGGGAAGUCAAGAGCAGAAAGAGGGAAAUGAGUUUCUAUCUCUGACAACUUGAAAAACUACUGUUGUCUGAAUGUUACUGAUAGGCUAAAGCAUAAGAAAAUAUAUACAAAUUCACUAAAUUUAUUACCCAACUUUCCAAAUACUCAAAAGAACAGACAUGAAUGCUUGAUUAGACUGAUUAAUACUUUUUAAGCAUUGGAAAUGUGGUAGCAUUUUGUACCCUUGGACUCUGUAAAUUACCACGCCUUUUUGAUAUUUUCUUGUAUUGUUUCUUAGUGCUCACUGGUCUUGAAACAGAUUCAUAAAUAACCCUGCACCCCCUUAAAUUCCACAUUAUUUAUCCAUCCUGGUUCAAAGACCUCUUGAGUCCACGAAAAGGCUGCAGUGGCUUUGGAUCAGGCUUGAAGCUGCAAAAGAAAAACUGUCCAUCAUUUGAGUUUUACUCUAGCAUUUUUUAUCUUCUCUCUGUAAAAUGGAAUCAUGACACUUCCUUUUUAAAGUGCUUUGAUAUGUCUGAAAGCAAACCUGUAUAUAAGAGCCAAGCAUUUAUUAUUAGAACUCUUUUAGAAGAGUUAACCAAAAAAAUAUGAUUUAAAGAAAAAUAUUUUCUUAUGUUUGCUCCAACAUGACCGGAGUGUAACCUUUAUAUUUAAAAAUUCAGCUGCAGAUUAGAUUUUGAUUGCAAUGUUUUAUACUGAAAGUGAGAAUAAUGAAAGCAAUUAAGUGUUCAUAAGCCUGCUCUCUUACAAACACCUUCCAUGGUGAGCCUGUUUAUGCAACCGGGUGUGUGGUACAAUUGUUUUUAUUACCUUCUUAUAAACCAGCCUGUAUAAGACACUUUCUUUUUGAUUGUUUUCUCAUGCAUUGUCAAAUGCGUUUGCAUUCUAAAGGGCUUUGCCUCAUUAAAGCAAUUACUAUAAA
This is a long non-coding RNA of Alligator mississippiensis (American alligator), 6620 nucleotides long. RefSeq lists it as uncharacterized. NCBI's taxonomy places the organism in Eukaryota, Metazoa, Chordata, Crocodylia, Alligatoridae. The record is from RefSeq and is a predicted model, not a curated record. The transcript has 3 exons.